RNAcentral lists this transfer RNA (71 nucleotides) under Loxodonta africana (African savanna elephant). It matches the Rfam family "tRNA". From Rfam's summary of the family: Transfer RNA (tRNA) molecules are approximately 80 nucleotides in length. Their secondary structure includes four short double-helical elements and three loops (D, anti-codon, and T loops). The record is from Rfam by way of RNAcentral. Lineage: Eukaryota; Metazoa; Chordata; Mammalia; Proboscidea; Elephantidae.
GCAGAGGUGGUUCAGAGGUAGAAUUUUUGCCUUCCAUGCAGGAGCCCUGGGCUUGACUUCCGGCCAAUGCA